This 253-nucleotide ribosomal RNA is filed under the name uncultured bacterium. Its description in RNAcentral is "partial 16S ribosomal RNA". It matches the Rfam family "Bacterial small subunit ribosomal RNA", at positions 524 to 776 of the family's 1533-position model. The record is from RNAcentral.
UACAGAGGCGGCAAGCGUUGUUCGGAAUUACUGGGCGUAAAGGGCGCGUAGGCGGCCUUCUAAGUCGGACGUGAAAUCCCCAGGCUUAACUUGGGAACUGCGUCCGAUACUGGAGGGCUUGAGUGCGGGAGAGGGAUGUGGAAUUCCAGGUGUAGCGGUGAAAUGCGUAGAUAUCUGGAGGAACACCGGUGGCGAAGGCGGCAUCCUGGACCGACACUGACGCUGAUGCGCGAAAGCCAGGGGAGCAAACGGG